GCACAUACCCACUGGCACAUACCCAGUGACCCAAGUUGGUGUUGAAGAGGUUCAUUGAAGAGUGGCACAUACCCACUGGCACAUACCCAGUGACCCAAGUUGGUGUUGAAGAGGUUCAUUGAAGAGUGGCACAUACCCACUGGCACAUACCCAGUGACCCAAGUUGGUGUUGAAGAGGUUCAUUGAAGAGUGGCACAUACCCACUGGCACAUACCCAGUGACCCAAGUUGGUGUUGAAGAGGUUCAUUGAAGAGUGGCAUAUACCCACUGGCACAUACCCAGUGACCCAAGUUGGUGUUGAAGAGGUUCAUUGAAGAGUGGCACAUACCCACUGGCACAUACCCAGUGACCCAAGUUGGUGUUGAAGAGGUUCAUUGAAGAGUGGCACAUACCCAGUGACCCAAGUUGGUGUUGAAGAGGUUCGUUGAAGAGUGGCACAUACCCACUG
RNAcentral lists this long non-coding RNA (448 nucleotides) under Dermacentor andersoni. RNAcentral's name for it is "uncharacterized LOC126518598". The record is from RNAcentral. Lineage: Eukaryota; Metazoa; Arthropoda; Arachnida; Ixodida; Ixodidae.